This 459-nucleotide ribosomal RNA is filed under the name uncultured bacterium. RNAcentral describes it as "partial 16S ribosomal RNA". It matches the Rfam family "Bacterial small subunit ribosomal RNA", at positions 339 to 795 of the family's 1533-position model. The record is from RNAcentral.
CUACGGGAUGCAGCAGUGAGGAAUAUUGGGCAAUGGAGGAAACUCUGACCCAGCCAUGCCGCGUGCAGGAAGACGGCCCUAUGGGUUGUAAACUGCUUUUGUACGAGAAUAAACCUUUCCACGUGUGGAAAGCUGAAGGUACCGUACGAAUAAGGAUCGGCUAACUCCGUGCCAGCAGCCGCGGUAAUACGGAGGAUCCAAGCGUUAUCCGGAUUUAUUGGGUUUAAAGGGUCCGUAGGCGGGUUUUUAAGUCAGUGGUGAAAGCCUACAGCUCAACUGUAGAAUUGCCAUUGAUACUGGAGACCUUGAGUGUAGUAGAAGUAGGCGGAAUAAGGCAUGUAGCGGUGAAAUGCAUAGAUAUGCCUUAGAACACCGAUUGCGAAGGCAGCUUACUAUGUUACAACUGACGCUGAGGGACGAAAGCGUGGGGAGCGAACAGGAUUAGAUACCCCAGUACUC